GAUGAACGCUGGCGGCGUGCCUAAUACAUGCAAGUCGAGCGAACGGACGAGAAGCUUGCUUCUCUGAUGUUAGCGGCGGACGGGUGAGUAACACGUGGAUAACCUACCUAUAAGACUGGGAUAACUUCGGGAAACCGGAGCUAAUACCGGAUAAUAUUUUGAACCGCAUGGUUCAAAAGUGAAAGACGGUCUUGCUGUCACUUAUAGGUGGAUCCGCGCUGCAUUAGCUAGUUGGUAAGGUAACGGCUUACCAAGGCAACGAUGCAUAGCCGACCUGAGAGGGUGAUCGGCCACACUGGAACUGAGACACGGUCCAGACUCCUACGGGAGGCAGCAGUAGGGAAUCUUCCGCAAUGGGCGAAAGCCUGACGGAGCAACGCCGAGUGAGUGAUGAAGGUCUUCGGAUCGUAAAACUCUGUUAUUAGGGAAGAACAUAUGUGUAAGUAACUGUGCACAUCUUGACGGUACCGAAUCAGAAAGCCACGGCUAACUACGU
Molecule: ribosomal RNA, 496 nt
Filed under: uncultured bacterium
Lineage: Bacteria
Description: partial 16S ribosomal RNA
Rfam family: Bacterial small subunit ribosomal RNA
Source: RNAcentral